Molecule: ribosomal RNA, 1444 nt
Filed under: uncultured bacterium
Lineage: Bacteria
Description: 16S ribosomal RNA
Rfam family: Bacterial small subunit ribosomal RNA
Source: RNAcentral
GAUGAACGCUAGCGGCAGGCUUAACACAUGCAAGUCGAGGGGCAGCACAGGUGGCAACACCGGGUGGCGACCGGCGUAAGGGUGCGUAACACGUGAGCAACAUACCCGUAUCUGGAGGAUAACCGGAGGAAACUCUGCCUAAUACUCCAUAAUAUCAUCGUACGGCAUCGUUUGGUGAUUAAAGAUUUAUCGGACACGGAUUGGCUCGCGGGACAUUAGCUUGUUGGUGGGGUAACGGCUCACCAAGGCCACGAUGUCUAGGGGUUCUGAGAGGAAGGUCCCCCACACUGGAACUGAGACACGGUCCAGACUCCUACGGGAGGCAGCAGUGAGGAAUAUUGGACAAUGGUCGGAAGACUGAUCCAGCCAUGCCGCGUGAAGGUUACGGUCCUAUGGAUUUUAAACUUCUUUUGUAUGGAAGCAAUAAGGUGCACGCGUGCAUCGAUGAGAGUACCAUACGAAUAAGCAUCGGCUAACUCCGUGCCAGCAGCCGCGGUAAUACGGAGGAUGCAAGCGUUAUCCGGAUUUAUUGGGUUUAAAGGGUGCGUAGGCGGAUUAAUAAGUCAGCGGUGAAACUCACAGGCUCAACCUGUGCCGUGCCGUUGAAACUGUUUAUCUUGAAUGCGGAUGCUGUGGGAGGAAUGUGUAGUGUAGCGGUGACAGCAUAGAUAUUACACAGAACACCGAUUGCGAAGGCAUCUCACAAAGCCGUGAUUGACGCUGAGGCACGANAGUGUGGGGAUCAAACAGGAUUAGAUACCCUGGUAGUCCACUACUGUAAACGAUGAUAACUCGCUGCCGGCGAUAUAUAGUCGGUGGCCCAGCGAAAGCGAUAAGUUAUCCACCUGGGGAGUACGACCGCAAGGUUGAAACUCAAAGGAAUUGACGGGGGCCCGCACAAGCGGAGGAACAUGUGGUUUAAUUCGAUGAUACGCGAGGAACCUUACCCGGGCUCGAACGGCAGAUGACGUAUACAGAGACGUAUAUUCUCUUCGGAGCGUCUGUCGAGGUGCUGCAUGGUUGUCGUCAGCUCGUGCCGUGAGGUGUCGGCUUAAGUGCCAUAACGAGCGCAACCCUUGUCGAUAGUUGCCAUCGGGUUAUGCCGGGGACUCUAUCGAGACUGCCUCCGUAAGGUGUGAGGAAGGGGGGGAUGACGUCAAAUCAGCACGGCCCUUACGUCCGGGGCGACACACGUGUUACAAUGGUGGUUACAGAGGGUCGCUCCCUGGUGACAGGCUGCCAAUCUCCAAAAGCCAUCUCAGUUCGGAUCGGAGUCUGCAACUCGACUCCGUGAAGUUGGAUUCGCUAGUAAUCGCACAUCAGCCACGGUGCGGUGAAUACGUUCCCGGGCCUUGUACACACCGCCCGUCAAGCCAUGGAAGUUGGGGGUGCCUGAAGUCCGUCACCGCGAGGAACGGCCUAGGGCAAAACUGAUAACUGGGGC